UCCCUCUCAAGGUCACAUCUGGAGUGUUUCCAGGAUUCUACCAGUCUCGGCUAUGGGAGGGAGAGUCAAGCAGAGGCAUACCCACUCUAUUCCUAGUUUGGGCAGUGGCUAGCGAGUGGAAGGCAGUCUGCUUCAAGU
Molecule: small nucleolar RNA, 138 nt
Organism: Tachyglossus aculeatus (Australian echidna)
Lineage: Eukaryota; Metazoa; Chordata; Mammalia; Monotremata; Tachyglossidae
Source: RefSeq, a predicted model, not a curated record